CAUCACACACUGGGGCCUGUUGUGGGGUGGGGGGAGGGGGGAGGGAUAGCAUUAGGAGAUAUACCUAAUGUAAAUGACGAGUUACUGGGUACAGCACACCAACAUGGCACAUGUAUACAUAUGUAACUAACCUGCACGUUGUGCAUACGAACCCUAAAACUUAAAGUAUAAUAAAAAAAAGAAAAAAAAACCCAGUAAGACAGAUAGAUGAUAGAUAGAUAGAUAGAUAGAUAGAUAGAUAGAUAGAUAGAUAGAUAACAUAGAUAGAUGCAUAGAUACAUAGAUAGAAGAAAGGGAAUUUAUCAGGAAAAUUGGCUUAUGGGAUUAUGGAAGCUGAGAAGUCUCAUGAUAGGCUGUCUGAAUUUGCAGAUACAGGGAUAUUGGUAGGUUGGUUCAGUCCAAAUCCAAAAGCCUCAGAAGCAGGCAAGCUGAUGGUAUAACUUUCAGUUGGAGGCCAGAGGCCUGAGAUCCCAGGGGGCUGUGGGUGCAAGUCCCAGAGUCCAAAGGCCAGAGAGCCUGAGGAUUCGAUGUCCAAGGGCAGAAGUAUGUCCCAAAUUCAGGCAAUGGAAACACCCUCAUAAUUCUGCUCAUUUAGAAGAUACAUAUUUUUCUUCUUCAGUAAAAUGCAGCGAUCACAGGACACAAUAUAGAUGCCUUCCGGACUGAAUGUGGAAUCUCCAUCCUGAGCAAUGCUGCCUGUUAGGAAGUCCUCUAAUAACUGAUUAUACAAGAGAACUUCUAAGCUUUUUAAAAUUAUGGGGUUAGUUAACAUCUAAAAUUGAAUUUAACACAGGACCUAAAGACUUAUGAGCUACCUGUUCAUAGAUAUGAUCAAUACUGCCUGUGGUCAAUUCUGAUGCAUAUUCUUAAAUAAACCAUUUUCAUUUGA
Long non-coding RNA from Gorilla gorilla gorilla (western lowland gorilla), 889 nucleotides. RefSeq lists it as uncharacterized. The transcript has 2 exons. The record is from RefSeq and is a predicted model, not a curated record. NCBI's taxonomy places the organism in Eukaryota, Metazoa, Chordata, Mammalia, Primates, Hominidae.